Long non-coding RNA from Herpailurus yagouaroundi (jaguarundi), 1871 nucleotides. RefSeq lists it as uncharacterized. Lineage: Eukaryota; Metazoa; Chordata; Mammalia; Carnivora; Felidae. The record is from RefSeq and is a predicted model, not a curated record. The transcript is spliced from 2 exons.
UCACGCUCUGUCUCUCUCUGUCUCAGAAAUAAACAUAAAAAUAAACAUUAAAAAAAAAAAGGUUCUAGAGCCAGUUAGGAAAGCAGUGCUCAUAGAGAAUAAGCAGUUAUUGAAGGUAGGAGUACAGUGGCCUCAGGUUGGCAAGUCCCUGCAUAUAAUUAAGAAUCACUUUUUUUUCAACAUUGAUUCUUUUGGUAAGUAUUUGAGUGUUUACUGAGAUGCAGUGUGGCAUAGUGGCAGUGUGGCAAAAGCAGAAGAGUUGGAAUCAGUAUUUGAAUCCAGCUUUAACUAGCUGCAAUGUGACUUUAGGCGCAUUGGUUACAUAACAGGCACAUAGGUUAAAUAGUAAUAUCCACCCCAGAGUGAUUUUGAGGAUUCUAAUAAUGUUAAUGUAUAUAGCACUUACUGUAUCCUAAGCACUUUACCCAUAUUAACUUACUGAAUCCUUGUAAUGACCCCGUGAGGUAGCCACUAUUACAAAUCCUCACUCUGUAGUUGAAGGAAUUAGGAAACAGAGGUUAAGUACCUUGCCCAAGGUCAUGUAGCUAGUAAAUAGUGAGCCAGGAUUCUGAGCCCAGUUUCUCCAGAGCCCUUGCUCUCAUUCACCAUACUCUGCUUUGAGGGGGACAUAACACAGGGCUGGAUCCAGGGAGUGCCCAGUCUCUGGAAACUGUCCCCUCCUUUGUCACUACUGCUGCCCUCUAUCUGUCUCUGUCCUUGGAUGUUAAUCUGCCAAAUCGUGUGAGACCAGAAGGUAGUUUAGUGCCAAGAGACAAUGAAGGUAAAGUUGGCAGCUUAAGAGAUCAUGAGGGUUCCAGCCCCAAAAUGAGAUCCUGGAGAACUUCACAAUCAUCCCAGCCAAGACAGGGGACCUUGCCAGGAUCAUCUGGUCACCUGGAGCUGACUGUUGGGGAUGUUUUUUCUUCUACUUGAAAUAGUAGUAAACUAUCAUGAGCUCGAGGAUUGACAUUAGUGUGUUCAAUCCACAUGCUGUUCAUGGAGUAUUGCAUGUUAGGUAGUCUAGGUUCUUUGGGGGGAUUUAGAGAUAAACAAAAGCAUGGUUCCCUUCCUCUGGGACAGUGAGGAUGGGCAGCCGUGCUUGUCAGUAAUUCUGGUUCAGUGGGAUAGGAGCUACAUUCGAGGCCUGGAGAAAACUGGACAGAGAAAAUACUAGCAGUUGACAUUUAUCGGGCAGGUGGUUGAACACUUCAUGUGCAUUAUCUCAUUAAUUAUUUGUUGUCUGUGAAUUUGUUGUUACGUAUCUGGGGUUUACAGACUGGGAAACUGAGGUUUAGAAAGUAAGAAACUUGCCUCAAGUUCACGCAGCAUGAUUCCAAAGCAGGUCUUGCUGACCCAGAGUCUGAAUUUUCAUGAAGCAGGAAUGCUUUACAAUUACUUCGGAAAGAAAAGAAAAUUUGAGCUUGGCCUGAAAACUGAGGCAGGCCUCAAGCAGUGUCCAUGGCCAGGAAUGGGAACUGCAUGCAGAGGAAAUGGCUCGGCUGAAAGCGGAGGUAGGGGGUGGGACAUGUUUAAAAAGUCAAAUGAGAGUGUGUGCUGAACAGUAACUCUGGACGAAUAGGCUUUGAACUUUAAAAUCUGUUUUGUUUUUUUUUUCCCCAGACCCGUAUCUUUUUGUCCUUCCACACUUCGGGUUCACCUUCCUUUCCUUCCUGCCUCUGUCCUUUUCUCCCUUCCCCUGGCCCACCCUGUUCCCUCCUCCUCCCCCUUUUAUAUCGCCAGUGCGGUGGCUCGUGGCAGUCUUGGAGUGACGCUUUCCAAUUUCACACUUACAUGCUCCUGAAAGUAUUCGUAAACUAACUCCUAUGUAAAACCAAUAAAGGGCAACAGCACACAUUCCUGUUAGGCAGUAA